AAAUAAAAAAAAGUCAGUAGUUUGACUGUUCAAACAAUUCAAUUGUCAGUAACUUGACAUAGCGAGGUAACAAUCUUGUUUUCUCAAAUUGCUGCAAAUAAUUUAUAUAAAUUGUAAUUUUUUUUAACUGUUAAAGACUUAAGUGAUGGCUUUACAGAAACUUUAGGCUGAAUAUACAUUCCGUGCAUUUUGUAGCAAAUUUUGAAAAUCUGUUACAGACUAGUUUUAAGUUCAUAUUUGGUUUAUACAGUGUAAAUAAUUUUUUCAAGUUUAUUUUUAGUUUUUGUUGUGUCUCAUGAUCUAAUGAAUUUAUAAAAUUUAUGUCCAAAAAAAAAAACUUUUUAAAGAAGGUUUUAAGGCAAUUGCAGUUCAUGCAUCCAACUUAUAAUUGCAUCAGGUAGAUACCAGAAAAGUUGAUUUUUAACCAAAAUAAAACCAAUAUUCAGCAGAAAAAGAAGUGUAAAGAUAA
Hydra vulgaris (swiftwater hydra) is the source of this 469-nucleotide non-coding RNA. NCBI's taxonomy places the organism in Eukaryota, Metazoa, Cnidaria, Hydrozoa, Anthoathecata, Hydridae. The record is from RefSeq and is a predicted model, not a curated record.